UUGGUAAGGUAACGGCUUACCAAGGCGACGAUCAGUAGCCGACCUGAGAGGGUGAUCGGCCACAUUGGAACUGAGACACGGUCCAAACUCCUACGGGAGGCAGCAGUGGGGAAUAUUGCACAAUGGGCGAAAGCCUGAUGCAGCAACGCCGCGUGAGCGAUGAAGGCCUUCGGGUCGUAAAGCUCUGUCCUCAAGGAAGAUAAUGACGGUACUUGAGGAGGAAGCCCCGGCUAACUACGUGCCAGCAGCCGCGGUAAUACGUAGGGGGCUAGCGUUAUCCGGAAUUACUGGGCGUAAAGGGUGCGUAGGUGGUUUCUUAAGUCAGAGGUGAAAGGCUACGGCUCAACCGUAGUAAGCCUUUGAAACUGGGAAACUUGAGUGCAGGAGAGGAGAGUGGAAUUCCUAGUGUAGCGGUGAAAUGCGUAGAUAUUAGGAGGAACACCAGUUGCGAAGGCGGCUCUCUGGACUGUAACUGACACUGAGGCACGAAAGCGUGGGGAGCAAACAGGAUUAGAUACCCUGGUAGUCCACGCCGUAAACGAUGAGUACUAGCUGUCGGAGGUUACCCCCUUCGGU
This 576-nucleotide ribosomal RNA is filed under the name uncultured bacterium. RNAcentral describes it as "bacterial SSU rRNA". It matches the Rfam family "Bacterial small subunit ribosomal RNA", at positions 249 to 844 of the family's 1533-position model. The record is from RNAcentral.